This 2534-nucleotide ribosomal RNA is filed under the name Staphylococcus aureus. Its description in RNAcentral is "bacterial LSU rRNA". It matches the Rfam family "Bacterial large subunit ribosomal RNA", at positions 382 to 2925 of the family's 2925-position model. Lineage: Bacteria; Bacillati; Bacillota; Bacilli; Caryophanales; Staphylococcaceae. The record is from RNAcentral.
AAAAUGUUGUCUCUCUUGAGUGGAUCCUGAGUACGACGGAGCACGUGAAAUUCCGUCGGAAUCUGGGAGGACCAUCUCCUAAGGCUAAAUACUCUCUAGUGACCGAUAGUGAACCAGUACCGUGAGGGAAAGGUGAAAAGCACCCCGGAAGGGGAGUGAAAUAGAACCUGAAACCGUGUGCUUACAAGUAGUCAGAGCCCGUUAAUGGGUGAUGGCGUGCCUUUUGUAGAAUGAACCGGCGAGUUACGAUUUGAUGCAAGGUUAAGCAGUAAAUGUGGAGCCGUAGCGAAAGCGAGUCUGAAUAGGGCGUUUAGUAUUUGGUCGUAGACCCGAAACCAGGUGAUCUACCCUUGGUCAGGUUGAAGUUCAGGUAACACUGAAUGGAGGACCGAACCGACUUACGUUGAAAAGUGAGCGGAUGAACUGAGGGUAGCGGAGAAAUUCCAAUCGAACCUGGAGAUAGCUGGUUCUCUCCGAAAUAGCUUUAGGGCUAGCCUCAAGUGAUGAUUAUUGGAGGUAGAGCACUGUUUGGACGAGGGGCCCCUCUCGGGUUACCGAAUUCAGACAAACUCCGAAUGCCAAUUAAUUUAACUUGGGAGUCAGAACAUGGGUGAUAAGGUCCGUGUUCGAAAGGGAAACAGCCCAGACCACCAGCUAAGGUCCCAAAAUAUAUGUUAAGUGGAAAAGGAUGUGGCGUUGCCCAGACAACUAGGAUGUUGGCUUAGAAGCAGCCAUCAUUUAAAGAGUGCGUAAUAGCUCACUAGUCGAGUGACACUGCGCCGAAAAUGUACCGGGGCUAAACAUAUUACCGAAGCUGUGGAUUGUCCUUUGGACAAUGGUAGGAGAGCGUUCUAAGGGCGUUGAAGCAUGAUCGUAAGGACAUGUGGAGCGCUUAGAAGUGAGAAUGCCGGUGUGAGUAGCGAAAGACGGGUGAGAAUCCCGUCCACCGAUUGACUAAGGUUUCCAGAGGAAGGCUCGUCCGCUCUGGGUUAGUCGGGUCCUAAGCUGAGGCCGACAGGCGUAGGCGAUGGAUAACAGGUUGAUAUUCCUGUACCACCUAUAAUCGUUUUAAUCGAUGGGGGGACGCAGUAGGAUAGGCGAAGCGUGCGAUUGGAUUGCACGUCUAAGCAGUAAGGCUGAGUAUUAGGCAAAUCCGGUACUCGUUAAGGCUGAGCUGUGAUGGGGAGAAGACAUUGUGUCUUCGAGUCGUUGAUUUCACACUGCCGAGAAAAGCCUCUAGAUAGAAAAUAGGUGCCCGUACCGCAAACCGACACAGGUAGUCAAGAUGAGAAUUCUAAGGUGAGCGAGCGAACUCUCGUUAAGGAACUCGGCAAAAUGACCCCGUAACUUCGGGAGAAGGGGUGCUCUUUAGGGUUAACGCCCAGAAGAGCCGCAGUGAAUAGGCCCAAGCGACUGUUUAUCAAAAACACAGGUCUCUGCUAAACCGUAAGGUGAUGUAUAGGGGCUGACGCCUGCCCGGUGCUGGAAGGUUAAGAGGAGUGGUUAGCUUCUGCGAAGCUACGAAUCGAAGCCCCAGUAAACGGCGGCCGUAACUAUAACGGUCCUAAGGUAGCGAAAUUCCUUGUCGGGUAAGUUCCGACCCGCACGAAAGGCGUAACGAUUUGGGCACUGUCUCAACGAGAGACUCGGUGAAAUCAUAGUACCUGUGAAGAUGCAGGUUACCCGCGACAGGACGGAAAGACCCCGUGGAGCUUUACUGUAGCCUGAUAUUGAAAUUCGGCACAGCUUGUACAGGAUAGGUAGGAGCCUUUGAAACGUGAGCGCUAGCUUACGUGGAGGCGCUGGUGGGAUACUACCCUAGCUGUGUUGGCUUUCUAACCCGCACCACUUAUCGUGGUGGGAGACAGUGUCAGGCGGGCAGUUUGACUGGGGCGGUCGCCUCCUAAAAGGUAACGGAGGCGCUCAAAGGUUCCCUCAGAAUGGUUGGAAAUCAUUCAUAGAGUGUAAAGGCAUAAGGGAGCUUGACUGCGAGACCUACAAGUCGAGCAGGGUCGAAAGACGGACUUAGUGAUCCGGUGGUUCCGCAUGGAAGGGCCAUCGCUCAACGGAUAAAAGCUACCCCGGGGAUAACAGGCUUAUCUCCCCCAAGAGUUCACAUCGACGGGGAGGUUUGGCACCUCGAUGUCGGCUCAUCGCAUCCUGGGGCUGUAGUCGGUCCCAAGGGUUGGGCUGUUCGCCCAUUAAAGCGGUACGCGAGCUGGGUUCAGAACGUCGUGAGACAGUUCGGUCCCUAUCCGUCGUGGGCGUAGGAAAUUUGAGAGGAGCUGUCCUUAGUACGAGAGGACCGGGAUGGACAUACCUCUGGUGUACCAGUUGUCGUGCCAACGGCAUAGCUGGGUAGCUAUGUGUGGACGGGAUAAGUGCUGAAAGCAUCUAAGCAUGAAGCCCCCCUCAAGAUGAGAUUUCCCAACUUCGGUUAUAAGAUCCCUCAAAGAUGAUGAGGUUAAUAGGUUCGAGGUGGAAGCAUGGUGACAUGUGGAGCUGACGAAUACUAAUCGAUCGAAGACUUAAUC